UUUUAUAUAAUAGGUAAAGAGUAAAAGCUAUAUAAAAAUGGAAUAAAUAACUCACGAAAAAGAUAUGUAAAAGGAACAAAUUACUGCCAACUUUCUUUUCCUGCCUUAGCUUAUGUACCAAAAAAACAAAUUCCUGUCAAUAUGUUUGAAUGAAGGUUCAGAUCCAGAGCCCCAUCAAAAUUAAUCAUCCAUGAAAAAUCUAGCUCCUAUGUUUUUUUUGACAUAACUCCUAUUCGUUUAUUUGUACAAGAAAAUGACCAUCCUUGCAGAAUUUUAUUGGCCAACUAUUUUUGGAUGUAUGCAAAAUGAACCUAAAUAUAAAUAGUGGCAUACAAUUUAAAAGAAAAAGAGGGUUGGAGAAUAGCAGAAAUAAGAAUAAUAUACAGAAGGUGCAAGUCAUUUUUCUUCCAAGCGCCGCAGCACUGACUCGGCAAAGUUCUGUUGCCUACAAAUGAGUUAUAGCCAAUAUAUUCAACAACAUGACACAUACGAAUUAACUAAAGAAACUAACACAUGACAGUAGAAUGUAAAUUUCUAAGAAACAGCAUUAGAUGCAUAUUGCAGCAUAAACAUUUAUUUAUUGAAUAUGUUACUAUAAUAUACAGAAGGUGCAAGUCAGAAAUAAGAAUAAUAUACAGAAGGUGCAAGUCAUUUUUCUUCCAAGCGCCGCAGCACUGACUCGGCAAAGUUCUGUUGCCUACAAAUGAGUUAUAGCCAAUAUAUUCAACAACAU
RNAcentral lists this long non-coding RNA (733 nucleotides) under Trifolium pratense (red clover). RNAcentral's name for it is "long non-coding RNA (TPRA_LNC007380)". The record is from RNAcentral. Lineage: Eukaryota; Viridiplantae; Streptophyta; Magnoliopsida; Fabales; Fabaceae.